UUAAGACGGGAUCAUGUGUGGAGCCGCUUCAACGACAUGGACUUUGGCAUUAGUGUGAAGUUGCAGCGCAACGAGCAAAACUGGAACAGAACAUACAGAUGACAUAUUUGUAUUGUUAAACCAGCCUCUAACUUACUCCAUACAAUGUUAGGGCACACACAGCCUGACUCAAGAAUUUGCUACUUUUGGCAACCCGAUCAAGGUUCUGGCAAAAGCCCUCUACGUGCGUGUCUUUGCAAUUCAUAUCACCGAAGCGCAACUGGUAUCUUCCUGGUGGCCACCUCCAAACUCAGUAGUAGUGGUCUCUCUGAUUUUACGCUUUCAA
Triticum aestivum (bread wheat) is the source of this 325-nucleotide long non-coding RNA. RefSeq lists it as uncharacterized. The record is from RefSeq and is a predicted model, not a curated record. NCBI's taxonomy places the organism in Eukaryota, Viridiplantae, Streptophyta, Magnoliopsida, Poales, Poaceae. The transcript is spliced from 3 exons.